This 1439-nucleotide ribosomal RNA is filed under the name uncultured organism. Its description in RNAcentral is "partial small subunit ribosomal RNA". It matches the Rfam family "Bacterial small subunit ribosomal RNA". The record is from RNAcentral.
UGCUUAACACAUGCAAGUCGAACGGAAAGGCCCUGCUUUUGUGGGGUGCUCGAGUGGCGAACGGGUGAGUAACACGUGAGUAACCUGCCCUUGACUUUGGGAUAACUUCAGGAAACUGGGGCUAAUACCGGAUAGGAGCUCCUGCUGCAUGGUGGGGGUUGGAAAGUUUCGGCGGUUGGGGAUGGACUCGCGGCUUAUCAGCUUGUUGGUGGGGUAGUGGCUUACCAAGGCUUUGACGGGUAGCCGGCCUGAGAGGGUGACCGGCCACAUUGGGACUGAGAUACGGCCCAGACUCCUACGGGAGGCAGCAGUGGGGAAUAUUGCACAAUGGGCGGAAGCCUGAUGCAGCAACGCCGCGUGCGGGAUGACGGCCUUCGGGUUGUAAACCGCUUUCGCCUGUGACGAAGCGUGAGUGACGGUAAUGGGUAAAGAAGCACCGGCUAACUACGUGCCAGCAGCCGCGGUGAUACGUAGGGUGCGAGCGUUGUCCGGAUUUAUUGGGCGUAAAGGGCUCGUAGGUGGUUGAUCGCGUCGGAAGUGUAAUCUUGGGGCUUAACCCUGAGCGUGCUUUCGAUACGGGUUGACUUGAGGAAGGUAGGGGAGAAUGGAAUUCCUGGUGGAGCGGUGGAAUGCGCAGAUAUCAGGAGGAACACCAGUGGCGAAGGCGGUUCUCUGGGCCUUUCCUGACGCUGAGGAGCGAAAGCGUGGGGAGCGAACAGGCUUAGAUACCCUGGUAGUCCACGCUGUAAACGGUGGGUACUAGGUGUGGGGUCCAUUCCACGGGUUCCGUGCCGUAGCUAACGCUUUAAGUACCCCGCCUGGGGAGUACGGCCGCAAGGCUAAAACUCAAAGGAAUUGACGGGGCCCCGCACAAGCGGCGGAGCAUGCGGAUUAAUUCGAUGCAACGCGUAGAACCUUACCUGGGUUUGACAUGGAUCGGGAGUGCUCAGAGAUGGGUGUGCCUCUUUUGGGGUCGGUUCACAGGUGGUGCAUGGCUGUCGUCAGCUCGUGUCGUGAGAUGUUGGGUUAAGUCCCGCAACGAGCGCAACCCUUGUUCACUGUUGCCAGCACGUUAUGGUGGGGACUCAGUGGAGACCGCCGGGGUCAACUCGGAGGAAGGUGGGGAUGACGUCAAGUCAUCAUGCCCCUUAUGUCCAGGGCUUCACGCAUGCUACAAUGGCUGGUACAGAGAGUGGCGAGCCUGUGAGGGUGAGCGAAUCUCGGAAAGCCGGUCUCAGUUCGGAUUGGGGUCUGCAACUCGACCUCAUGAAGUCGGAGUCGCUAGUAAUCGCAGAUCAGCAACGCUGCGGUGAAUACGUUCCCGGGGCUUGUACACACCGCCCGUCAAGUCAUGAAAGUUGGUAACACCCGAAGCCGGUGGCCUAACCGUUGUGGGGGAGCCGUCGAAGGUGGGACUGGUGAUUAGGACUAAGUCAUAA